AAUGCAGAGACUCCAGGUGGAGGAAGAAAUGCUUAUGCACAAGUAUUACGAGUUCAUGGAAGCACAAGGUUUAAUUAAAAAGAAACAAAGUAAUAACUUGAAAACAGAGGAAGAAACUGGUAAAGCUGGAGAGGUGGACUAGCCAUAAGGAAGUCAGCUGGUUCUGUAAUUUGCUGUUCAUAUUCUACAUGCUCGGCUCCAUACUUUCACAGUUGUAUUAAUCGAUGUUAGAUUAUAUGGAAUAUUCUCUAAUUUUACUCGUUUUACCCCAUUCGAGCUUCACAUUUGAAACAAGAUAGAUUGUGGUGUAUCAGAAACUGCGCUUGUAAAUAUCAGAUUGUGGUGUAUCAGAAACUGUAUUUUUACACAAAACGAGUGCAAACUAAAGGAUAUUUUAUGGAAUCUAGAAAAUCAUGUUGAAUUUGACACCA
Molecule: non-coding RNA, 431 nt
Organism: Erythranthe guttata (spotted monkey flower)
Lineage: Eukaryota; Viridiplantae; Streptophyta; Magnoliopsida; Lamiales; Phrymaceae
Source: RefSeq, a predicted model, not a curated record